RNAcentral lists this long non-coding RNA (347 nucleotides) under Hordeum vulgare. RNAcentral describes it as "long non-coding RNA (HVUL_LNC010609)". The record is from RNAcentral. Lineage: Eukaryota; Viridiplantae; Streptophyta; Magnoliopsida; Poales; Poaceae.
CUUUUUAUGUGUUCAAAAUGUACCAUUCAAAGGUGAAAGUGCGUUAUAUCGACUAGAGGGGGUGAAUAGGCGAUUUUUAGAAUUUCAUCACUCAGGAAAUUCCUUUUGAGGAAUUUUCUCACUCAUGAAUAACUUGCAUCGAAAACAGCAAAGGAUCAGAAGUGCAAAGACUACAACAGCAGUUUUUUGAUGAGGAUUAUGGAAAACAGUUUGCACAAUAUGCAGGCACAGAGUAAGGAUGUGAGGAUUAACAGAUGUGAAGAAUUUGGGUUGAGGAAAUUCAGAGAAAAUCUUCAGCAAAUUCUUCAAACAGAGACAACAAAAGUCUUCAACAUACAAAAUUGAGG